RNAcentral lists this ribosomal RNA (254 nucleotides) under uncultured bacterium. Its description in RNAcentral is "partial 16S ribosomal RNA". It matches the Rfam family "Bacterial small subunit ribosomal RNA", at positions 15 to 263 of the family's 1533-position model. The record is from RNAcentral.
GAUCAUGGCUCAGGAUGAACGCUAGCUACAGGCUUAACACAUGCAAGUCGAGGGGCAGCAUUUUUAUAGCAAUAUAAAAGAUGGCGGCCGGCGCACGGGUGAGUAACACGUAUCCAACCUGCCGAUAACUCGGGGAUAACCCUUCGAAAGAAGGCCUAAUACCCGAUGGCAUAUCCCUUCCGCCUGGUUGGGAUAUUAAAGAACUUCGGUUAUCGAUGGGGAUGCGUUCCAUUAGCUUGUUGGCGGGGUAACGG